RNAcentral lists this non-coding RNA (209 nucleotides) under Pedobacter sp. BAL39. Its description in RNAcentral is "Pedo-repair RNA". It matches the Rfam family "Pedo-repair RNA". The record is from RNAcentral. Lineage: Bacteria; Pseudomonadati; Bacteroidota; Sphingobacteriia; Sphingobacteriales; Sphingobacteriaceae.
AACGAUACUUUGCAAAAACAGACGUCGGAAAUCUAAACAGGCAAAGCGCGGUGAAAAUGAAUGCCCGGUUUCUGUAUAUUUGUGCGGAAAUAUGGGCGUUCUCCGUAGGCCUGUUAGAGAGUUUCGGCUCUCGUCCCCUCCGACGGGGUGUUUUUGCAUGCGGGGAGCGCCCAUAUUUCUUGCUUUCCUCUUUUAGAAUCAUUGCUUUA